Scylla paramamosain (green mud crab) is the source of this 1085-nucleotide long non-coding RNA. RefSeq lists it as uncharacterized. The record is from RefSeq and is a predicted model, not a curated record. NCBI's taxonomy places the organism in Eukaryota, Metazoa, Arthropoda, Malacostraca, Decapoda, Portunidae. The transcript is spliced from 2 exons.
CUUUGAACGGUACCACUCAGUCCAGUCUUCAAAACUAUGAUAUUCUUGCAUAUUAUCAUCCUCACUACAACUCUCUCUCCCCAUCACAGAGCGUCACGCUUACAAAGAUGCUGCUCAGGGUGCAUGACGCAGCAGCAGGCAGAGGUAGAAGUAGAAAUGAUUAUGUAAUGCAGAAGAUGACACACAAAUAUUAUUUAUGACCUUGAUUCGGCACAACGACUUCUAAACAUUACCAGACAAAAAUGAAGCUGUUGUCGACGCUAGUGAUGUACAGCUGGCGUAUAGAACAGCAGCAAUAGAAGCAGAAACAGCAACAACAACAACAACAACAAUAUUUCAGUAAUUCAUGUAAAGGGUUGCUACUGUCCUGGAGCAGAAUAUGACCUUGAAUGUGCUCAGGAAGUGUCACCAGUUGCAGGGCAUGGGAUCCGUCUCGGUGCUGGCUGCGAGGUCAGUGGGUCUGUGCUUGCCUGGUAAAUAAGUAAGUGGUCUUUCCUUUACAUGUUGCCUACAUUCCUUUUUAUGUACGGAAACAUUCACGUAAUUGCAUAUCGAGAAUUUGCAGAGUUGAUGAUGUAUACGCUGAUAUUUUGUCUGGUUGUACGGGCCAGUCAUGGCAUGGUACUAAUAGUGGUGUGAACUGCGACGAGAAGAAAUAAUAAUGUCCCGUGCUAUCCCUAAAUAAACAGACAUAUAUAUACAGGUUUAAAAUUAGCUUUACUGUAGAGACCAACACGAAGAUAGUUUUAUUAAUUUUUCGUGAUUGUUUUCUUUGCUUAAACGUACCCAUCAUUAUACGCAAACGCGAGAAACGAGCUUGAGAGGUUGGGCAUCCUGCAGGAAAAUUAUGGGUUUACCUAGACGCAGGACCCCGUCUGUGUGUGCGUCGGGGCCUGGAGGUGGUGAGGUAGAGGACGGCAGCUUGUUGUGGUGGUGCAGAGGUGAUCUCACCAGCCCUCCUUCCCUGCCCUCCCGUCCCUCCUACUCUCCCUUAUGACCUUCGUCUUAAAAUGAAAUUCUGACCUUGUCUUCUGGGUAUAGUUGCUUCCUAUGUUUAUGAUGUUUAGACCAAGUAUACAAACGCA